AGUGAACGCUGGCGGUAGGCCUAACACAUGCAAGUCGAACGGCAGCACAGGAGAGCUUGCUCUCUAGGUGGCGAGCGGCGGACGGGUGAGGAAUACAUCGGAAUCUGCCCAGUCGUGGGGGAUAACGUAGGGAAACUUACGCUAAUACCGCAUACGACCUUCGGGUGAAAGAGGGGGAUCGCAAGACCUCUCGCGAUUGGAUGAGCCGAUGUCGGAUUAGCUAGUUAGCGGGGUAAUGGCCCACCAAGGCGACGAUCCGUAGCUGGUCUGAGAGGAUGAUCAGCCACACUGGAACUGAGACACGGUCCAGACUCCUACGGGAGGCAGCAGUGGGGAAUAUUGGACAAUGGGCGCAAGCCUGAUCCAGCCAUACCGCGUGGGUGAAGAAGGCCUUCGGGUUGUAAAGCCCUUUUGUUGGGAAAGAAAUCUUUCAGGCUAAUACCCUGGGAGGAUGACGGUACCCAAAGAAUAAGCACCGGCUAACUUCGUG
This 490-nucleotide ribosomal RNA is filed under the name uncultured bacterium. RNAcentral describes it as "partial 16S ribosomal RNA". It matches the Rfam family "Bacterial small subunit ribosomal RNA", at positions 29 to 507 of the family's 1533-position model. The record is from RNAcentral.